GAUGAACGCUGGCGGUGUGCUUAACACAUGCAAGUCGAACGAAGCACUUUAUUUGAUUUCCUUCGGGACUGAUUAUUUUGUGACUGAGUGGCGGACGGGUGAGUAACGCGUGGGUAACCUGCCUUGUACAGGGGGAUAACAGUUGGAAACGGCUGCUAAUACCGCAUAAGCGCACAGCAUCGCAUGAUGCAGUGUGAAAAACUCCGGUGGUAUAAGAUGGACCCGCGUUGGAUUAGCUAGUUGGUGAGGUAACGGCCCACCAAGGCGACGAUCCAUAGCCGACCUGAGAGGGUGACCGGCCACAUUGGGACUGAGACACGGCCCAAACUCCUACGGGAGGCAGCAGUGGGGAAUAUUGCACAAUGGGCGAAAGCCUGAUGCAGCGACGCCGCGUGAGCGAAGAAGUAUUUCGGUAUGUAAAGCUCUAUCAGCAGGGAAGAUAAUGACGGUACCUGACGAAGAAGCACCGGCUAAAUACGUG
Molecule: ribosomal RNA, 481 nt
Filed under: uncultured bacterium
Lineage: Bacteria
Description: partial 16S ribosomal RNA
Rfam family: Bacterial small subunit ribosomal RNA
Source: RNAcentral